RNAcentral lists this ribosomal RNA (484 nucleotides) under uncultured bacterium. RNAcentral describes it as "partial 16S ribosomal RNA". It matches the Rfam family "Bacterial small subunit ribosomal RNA", at positions 29 to 507 of the family's 1533-position model. The record is from RNAcentral.
AUUGAACGCUGGCGGCAUGCUUUACACAUGCAAGUCGAACGGCAGCGCGGGCUUCGGCCUGGCGGCGAGUGGCGAACGGGUGAGUAAUACAUCGGAACGUGCCCAGUAGUGGGGGAUAGCUCGGCGAAAGCCGGAUUAAUACCGCAUACGACCUGAGGGAGAAAGCGGGGGAUCUUCGGACCUCGCGCUAUUGGAGCGGCCGAUGGCAGAUUAGCUAGUUGGUGGGGUAAAGGCCUACCAAGGCGACGAUCUGUAGCUGGUCUGAGAGGACGACCAGCCACACUGGGACUGAGACACGGCCCAGACUCCUACGGGAGGCAGCAGUGGGGAAUUUUGGACAAUGGGCGAAAGCCUGAUCCAGCAAUGCCGCGUGUGUGAUGAAGGCCUUCGGGUUGUAAAGCACUUUUGGCGGGAACGAAAAGGACUGUGCCAAUACCACGGUUCGAUGACGGUACCCGCAGAAUAAGCACCGGCUAACUACGUG